GCUAUAUUAGGAUUCUGUGUAUACUUAAUGAUUAGUGUUUGUAUAUAGAAUAAAUUGUUGUAAUUCUCUUUUAUGUAUGCGUGGUCUUGGAAAAGCCUGUUAAAUAUUAUUGUGUCCUCGUUUUGCUGCAUGCUCAAUGUUAUAAACGUCUUACCUCCGCUGCAAACUUUGUGGUCAAGCAUGACUGGCGAGCAACGACAAUGAAAAACUUAAAUAGUAUUUCCUAAAAGGAUCUGUCCAAUUAUAAGCUACGAUCUUUGACAAUAUAGGAACGGAGGGCGCUAUUCCUUUCAAAUUAUAUGAAAUUACAGCAGCUGUCCCAUAGUUUCUGGCAAAGAUUGUCU
Molecule: non-coding RNA, 344 nt
Organism: Paramuricea clavata
Lineage: Eukaryota; Metazoa; Cnidaria; Anthozoa; Malacalcyonacea; Plexauridae
Source: the annotation of a GenBank genome assembly